UGGCGGCGCGUCUUAAGCAUGCAAGUCGAACGGCAAGAGGUAGCAAUACCUCCUAGAGUGGCGGACUGGUGAGUAACACGGUGGGUGACAUACCCUUCAGAUGGGGAUAGCUAUUAGAAAUAGUAGAUAAUACCGAAUACGAGCACAGGGGUUAGAGAUCUGUGAGGAAAGGAGCUAAGGCUCCGCUGAAGGAAUGGCCUGCGGCCCAUUAGCUAGUUGGUGAGGUAAGAGCCCACCAAGGCGAUGAUGGGUAUCCGGCCUUAGAGGGUGAACGGACACAUUGGGACUGAGAUACGGCCCAGACUCCUACGGGAGGCAGCAGCUAAGAAUAUUCCGCAAUGGACGAAAGUCUGACGGAGCGACGCCGCGUGGAUGAAGAAGGCCGGAAGGUUGUAAAAUCCUUUUGAAACUGAAGAAUAAGCGUUGUAGGGAAUGACAGCGUGGUGACAGUAGGUUUUGAAUAAGCAACGGCUAAUUACGUGCCAGCAGCGGC
RNAcentral lists this ribosomal RNA (493 nucleotides) under uncultured bacterium. RNAcentral describes it as "bacterial SSU rRNA". It matches the Rfam family "Bacterial small subunit ribosomal RNA", at positions 37 to 518 of the family's 1533-position model. The record is from RNAcentral.